GGCCGAUUGGCUCAAUGGUAGAGCGUCCGCCUCCUACGUCUCAUGAUUGGCUAGCGGAAGGUUGUGGGUUCGAGUCCCAUGUUGGUCG
Molecule: transfer RNA, 88 nt
Organism: Rachicladosporium sp. CCFEE 5018
Lineage: Eukaryota; Fungi; Ascomycota; Dothideomycetes; Cladosporiales; Cladosporiaceae
Rfam family: tRNA
About the family: Transfer RNA (tRNA) molecules are approximately 80 nucleotides in length. Their secondary structure includes four short double-helical elements and three loops (D, anti-codon, and T loops).
Source: Rfam